Molecule: long non-coding RNA, 579 nt
Filed under: Capsella rubella
Lineage: Eukaryota; Viridiplantae; Streptophyta; Magnoliopsida; Brassicales; Brassicaceae
Description: long non-coding RNA (CRUB_LNC002914)
Source: RNAcentral
UAUCAAUGCCUGCAUUAAUGGAAGCUUCAACGGAGUAAGUGUAGUUUGAUCUAUGUGGCGUUGUGAUCCUAUCAAUUCCCAUCCAAUCAGAGAUAACAAAGCCUUGGAAUUUGAGAGUGUUCUUGAGGUAAUCAGUGAUCAAUGCGCGGUUUGCAUGCAUCUUAACACCGUUAAUACUAGAGUAAGAAGCCAUGAUCGAUGAGAUCCCUUUCUUGACCGCUAUCUCAAAUGGAGGCAUAUGGAUACCAAAGAUAGUAGCAUUAUCACCCACAGUGUUGUCCUCAUUGAUUCCAUUUACUGUCCCUCCGUCCCCAACAAAAUGCUUGGCAACCCCAGCCACAUUGAUCCUAACCGCGUAGAGGCAUGUUUUCACAUUAGUCAACUAGUGAUCAAGAUCAAUAAAAAUUUAGAUACAAAUUAAACAAGCUAGUAUAUAGUUCUUGGUUAAUUAAUUACUUUUGAUCAGCAAUGUAAGGAGCAUUUCCUUGUAAUCCAUCGAUGAUACCCUCGGUCAUCAUAUUCACAACCUUAGUGUCUUCACUGUAGCUCUCGUAACACCUUCCCCAUCUAGGAUCUCUG